RNAcentral lists this ribosomal RNA (468 nucleotides) under uncultured bacterium. RNAcentral describes it as "partial 16S ribosomal RNA". It matches the Rfam family "Bacterial small subunit ribosomal RNA", at positions 28 to 507 of the family's 1533-position model. The record is from RNAcentral.
GACGAACGCUGGCGGCGUGCUUAACACAUGCAAGUCGAACGGAAAGGCCCUGCUUUUGUGGGGUGCUCGAGUGGCGAACGGGUGAGUAACACGUGAGUAACCUGCCCUUGACUUUGGGAUAACUUCAGGAAACUGGGGCUAAUAACGGAUAGGAGCUCCUGCUGCAUGGUGGGGGUUGGAAAGUUUCGGCGGUUGGGGAUGGACUCGCGGCUUAUCAGCUUGUUGGUGGGGUAGUGGCUUACCAAGGCUUUGACGGGUAGCCGGCCUGAGAGGGUGACCGGCCACAUUGGGACUGAGAUACGGCCCAGACUCCUACGGGAGGCAGCAGUGGGGAAUAUUGCACAAUGGGCGGAAGCCUGAUGCAGCACCGCCGCGUGCGGGAUGACGGCCUUCGGGUUGUAAACCGCUUUCGCCUGUGACGAAGCGUGAGUGACGGUAAUGUGUAAAGAAGCACCGGCUAACUACGUG